CCUACGGGGGGCAGCAGUGAGGAAUAUUGGUCAAUGGACGCAAGUCUGAACCAGCCAUGCCGCGUGCAGGAAGACGGCUCUAUGAGUUGUAAACUGCUUUUGUACGAGGGUAAACGUAGAUACGCGUAUCUUUCUGAAAGUAUCGUACGAAUAAGGAUCGGCUAACUCCGUGCCAGCAGCCGCGGUAAUACGGAGGAUUCAAGCGUUAUCCGGAUUUAUUGGGUUUAAAGGGUGCGUAGGCGGUCGGAUAAGUUAGAGGUGAAAUCCCGGGGCUCAACUUCGGAAUUGCCUCUGAUACUAGUCGGCUAGAGAGUAGUUGCGGUAGGCGGAAUGUAUGGUGUAGCGGUGAAAUGCUUAGAGAUCAUACAGAACACCGAUUGCGAAGGCAGCUUACCAAGCUACUUCUGACGUUGAGGCACGAAAGCGUGGGGAGCAAACAGGAUUAGAUACCCCUGUAGUC
Molecule: ribosomal RNA, 460 nt
Filed under: uncultured bacterium
Lineage: Bacteria
Description: partial 16S ribosomal RNA
Rfam family: Bacterial small subunit ribosomal RNA
Source: RNAcentral